This 492-nucleotide ribosomal RNA is filed under the name uncultured bacterium. Its description in RNAcentral is "partial 16S ribosomal RNA". It matches the Rfam family "Bacterial small subunit ribosomal RNA", at positions 29 to 507 of the family's 1533-position model. The record is from RNAcentral.
AGUGAACGCUGGCGGUAGGCCUAACACAUGCAAGUCGAACGGCAGCACAGUAAGAGCUUGCUCUUACGGGUGGCGAGUGGCGGACGGGUGAGGAAUACAUCGGAAUCUACUUUUUCGUGGGGGAUAACGUAGGGAAACUUACGCUAAUACCGCAUACGACCUACGGGUGAAAGCAGGGGAUCUUCGGACCUUGCGCGAUUGAAUGAGCCGAUGUCGGAUUAGCUAGUUGGCGGGGUAACGGCCCACCAAGGCGACGAUCCGUAGCUGGCCUGAGAGGAUGAUCAGCCACACUGGAACUGAGACACGGUCCAGACUCCUACGGGAGGCAGCAGUGGGGAAUAUUGGACAAUGGGCGAAAGCCUGAUCCAGCCAUACCGCGUGGGUGAAGAAGGCCUUCGGGUUGUAAAGCCCUUUUGUUGGGAAAGAAAAGCAGCAGGUUAAUACCCCGCUGUUCUGACGGUACCCAAAGAAUAAGCACCGGCUAACUUCGUG